RNAcentral lists this ribosomal RNA (351 nucleotides) under Triticum aestivum (bread wheat). RNAcentral's name for it is "partial small subunit ribosomal RNA". The record is from RNAcentral. Lineage: Eukaryota; Viridiplantae; Streptophyta; Magnoliopsida; Poales; Poaceae.
AUGUGUGCAGGUGAUCUGCGACCACCUUGGACUAGGAGUCAAGACGGGGCUGCCCUACAUCUGGCACAGCAAGGCCAACAACCCGUUCGUGAACCUGAAGGAGUAAAAGGGCAUCUUCUGGCAGGAGGACAUCAUCCCCUUCUUCUAGGUCGCGAAGCUGACAAGGAAUGCGACACCGUGCAGAAGUGCUACAUCUCGCUCUCGCAGCAGGUCAAGGAGAAGCUCGGCAAGAUCGACCCCUACUUCAUCAAGCUUGCCGACGCCAUGGUCAUCUGGAUCGAGGCCCGGGACAUGCUCAACUCCAAGGACUCCAAGGAGGCCGACGCCAACGGCAAGCUCAAGGGGAAGUAG